UUAGUUGGUGGAGUGAUUUGUCUGGUUAAUUCCGUUAACGAACGAGACCGUCGCCUGCUAAAUAGUUACGCGAAUGGCUUCGGCCAUUCGCGGGCAACUUCUUAGAGGGACUUUUGGUGUUUAACCAAAGGAAGUUGGCGGCAAUAACAGGU
RNAcentral lists this ribosomal RNA (152 nucleotides) under Stramenopiles sp. RNAcentral's name for it is "partial small subunit ribosomal RNA". It matches the Rfam family "Eukaryotic small subunit ribosomal RNA", at positions 1294 to 1461 of the family's 1831-position model. The record is from RNAcentral.